GGUGCUGAUGUACCAGUAGAAACGGUAGAUAUCCAAAGGCACGACCAUGGGAUCGUGUAAUAUUUACCUUUGCCCGGGUUAAAUCAUCCGUCCCUUACUUUGAAAAGCUAAAAGUAAAUGGAUAUGCGUCGGAACCAGACAACGGCAUAAAGGGGUUGACAAUGCACAAAAAGGCGUCAAUUCGUGAAUAGCUUUCUGCCUUGUAAAAGACUAGGCAUGCCAUGCUAGGUCAACACUUCUGCUUAAAAGCAGAGGUUAACUGUGUGCAUCUAAAAGAAAAACUUGUCACUGCGAAAGUGGUUGAAGGGAACCUGCCCUGGCCUGCAUUUUACAGCGAUUUCUUCAUUCAAGCAGGAAACUACACAGGACAUACAAUUCGACAAAAUAUCAGACUCUGCAGGGACGACGCCAGAUGACACACAUCAGGAAAAUGAAGAAAAAGGGAGGGGCUCCUUUGACGCAUCCUCGCGUUAGGUCAAUACGGCCUAUGCGGUGUUGAAUGAGCUCACGCACGUCGGACCAUCUGCAGAAAUGGCUUCAGAAUCCGGAGACUCGGAUUCAAGCCCCCAAAGAUACCAACUGGUCGAACAAGAAACCCGUUCCGCCACCAAUCUUGAACUGAAAAGGGACUGGUGUCAAAAAUCAACAUGGCCG
Acanthaster planci (crown-of-thorns starfish) is the source of this 654-nucleotide long non-coding RNA. The record is from RefSeq and is a predicted model, not a curated record. NCBI's taxonomy places the organism in Eukaryota, Metazoa, Echinodermata, Asteroidea, Valvatida, Acanthasteridae.